UCCGAGCAGGGUCGAUAGAGGGAAGAAAGCUUGUUGAAAAAAAUAGUAAUAAUAAGAGUAACCAUCUGGAGAAACAGAACAAAGGGGAAAAAUUUUUUUUUAAAGUGGUUUGAAGGGAGAGGGAAGAGAUGCGACCCAGAGGAAGGUGGCACUUAUUAAUAAAAGUGGGAAAAAUUACAUUAUAGGGUGUGUCUAUGUUUGGCUGCAUCUAAACACGAGGCUCCGGACGAGGUUUCGCCUUUUCACAGCUGCGGUGGGCGCAGCGACUUCCUUUGCAGCCGGGGAAAACUUUUCAAGACUGGCCCUUGUUCCCCUUCAACGUGACGUUGAUGUGGAAGCAGAAACAUCAACAUACCCGCAGCUGCUUUUCACGGCUCUCUUUGCGGAGAAGGAGGAGGUUCUCGUGCAACGUGUCCACCAGCGCCUGGAUGGCUUCGUUCUCCUCACGAAGCUGACGGAUCUGUUUCUCCAUAUCUUGCUUCCGCUCUUGAAGCAGACGAUUCUGCGAAGGAAGAGGUCAGAAAUGAGAUAAGAAGAAGGAGGGAACACUUCAAAGAUCAGCUCCAUAUCACCAUUCCCUGCUCAGUCAGUCCAGUGCCUCAUAUCCAGUUUUGGUUUGGGACAAGUAGACAUUGGGACGUUUUUCUUCCAAACCCAGAAAAUCUGGAAUAACACCGCAUACCUGUCUUUAUUGAUUUCUUUUUUUAAAUAAAGACAGAUAUCACCAAAGUGUGGUUGCCAACUCAGAUUGGGCAACUGAUUGUUCAUUUGUAAUAGGAGAUUCCACCAAGAAAAGAACAUUUAGCAAGAGCGCUUAGAUUUAUAUACCGCUUCAUACAGCACUCUCUAAGUGGUUUACAAAUGCCAGCAUUUUGCUCACAACAAUCUGGGUCCUCAUUUUACCAACCUUGGAAUGACUGAAAACUGAAUCAACCUUGAGCUGAGUCGGGAUCAAACUCCUGGCUGUAGGCAGAGUUAGCCUGCAAUACUGCAUUCUAACCACUGUGCCACCAUGGCUCCUAAUAUAUGUUUGUAACAAAUGAUGUUACCUCAUUUGGGUAAUGUAACAUCCGCAAGAAAUCAAUCAACCAAGGAUCCUCAAAUACAGCUUUUCAUCCUC
Long non-coding RNA from Pantherophis guttatus, 1120 nucleotides. RefSeq lists it as uncharacterized. The record is from RefSeq and is a predicted model, not a curated record. Lineage: Eukaryota; Metazoa; Chordata; Lepidosauria; Squamata; Colubridae.